Molecule: ribosomal RNA, 429 nt
Filed under: Actinomycetes bacterium
Lineage: Bacteria; Bacillati; Actinomycetota; Actinomycetes
Description: Actinobacteria bacterium partial 16S ribosomal RNA
Rfam family: Bacterial small subunit ribosomal RNA
Source: RNAcentral
UAGGGAAUCUUCCGCAAUGGGCGAAAGCCUGACGGAGCAACGCCGCGUGAGUGAUGAAGGUCUUCGGAUCGUAAAACUCUGUUAUUAGGGAAGAACAAAUGUGUAAGUAACUAUGCACGUCUUGACGGUACCUAAUCAGAAAGCCACGGCUAACUACGUGCCAGCAGCCGCGGUAAUACGUAGGUGGCAAGCGUUAUCCGGAAUUAUUGGGCGUAAAGCGCGCGUAGGCGGUUUUUUAAGUCUGAUGUGCAAGCCCACGGCUCAACCGUGGAGGGUCAUUGGAAACUGGACAACUUGAGUGCAGAAGAGGAAAGUGGAAUUCCAUGUGUAGCGGUGAAAUGCGCAGAGAUAUGGAGGAACACCAGUGGCGAAGGCGACUUUCUGGUCUGUAACUGACGCUGAUGUGCGAAAGCGUGGGGAUCAAACAGG